Molecule: ribosomal RNA, 85 nt
Filed under: Disa marlothii
Lineage: Eukaryota; Viridiplantae; Streptophyta; Magnoliopsida; Asparagales; Orchidaceae
Description: partial 25S ribosomal RNA
Rfam family: Eukaryotic large subunit ribosomal RNA
Source: RNAcentral
GCGCGACCCCAGGAUGGGUGGGGUGACCCGCUGAGUUUAAGCAUAUCAAUGAGCGGAGGAGAGGAAACUUACGAGGAUUCCCCUA